UAAAGAAAACAUAUGUUAACAAAUUUGUUUCAUAUAGUGAAACCGUCAAACUUAGGAAAAAAUUAAAAUGAAAACAAAAAAUAAGGCAAGUUAACACAUUCAACAUCUACUGAUCUACAUCACGUUUCAUGUGAGAUUAAACUUACAUCUACAUCCCAAAAGAAAACAUAUAAACUUACAGCUGCUCUGAAGACACGGGAGGGAGGCAGAGCCGCAGGCGCCAGGCAGAGGUGGUGGCAGUGGCGCUGGACCUGCUGGUGCAGCUCGAAGGCUGAGAGUCCGAGAGAGGCAAGAGUGAGAGACGACGAUAGACAGAGAGACGGAGAGGCAGCAACCUAGCAGGGAGGGAAUCGCAGACGAGAGACUGAGAGACGAUGAUAGCAGAUUCAGCGUGGCUAGCAACCUAGCAGGGGGGGUGGGAAUCGCAGCCGAGAGAGUGAGAGACGACGAUAGCGGAGAGUGCCGAGACUCGAGAGGCAGAUUCAGCGUGGGCCGUGGCUACUGGUGCUGGCCGCUGGGUGCUGGCUAGCUGCGUAGCAGUAGCAGGGGGGUGGGGGAAUCCCAGACGACUAGACAAGACGCACGGGGAUGGCGCAAGGAGUCAAGAACACUAGGGCAGAGUCGCAGAGAGAAGAAGAGAAAUGAGGAAUUGGACGGCGGAGUGAAAGUGAAAACCCUAAAUCCCUAAUCCCCUAUAUUAGUCAUAUUAUAUAUAUUUUUUAUUAUAACUCGGUUUUUCGGUUUUUUUCAGUUCGGUUUCAACAUAAAUCGAAACCGAAACCGAAUAUUUUGAUUUUUGAAAACCGAAACCAAAAACCAAAAAUUUGUUCAAUUUUAGUUUGCAAAUAUAAUGGAUUUGAAGUAGCUAGCAGUUUAGGUUGAUAAGUUCACUGUUGUUGAACUAGUACAAGAUAUUUUUUCCCCUUACAGAUACAGUCUGCAUUACCAGUUCUUCAUAGACUAAUUCAUUUGGAAACGCACCGCCUAAUGGACAAUAUAUACAGGGAGGCGUGCUUAGCCCUAUCUUACUUGUCAGAUGCUCCUAUUGAGCAAAUUCAGUGUGUGGUGGAUGCAAAUAUUUGUGGGAGGCUCGUGAUUCUUCUUGAGUAAGUUUGUUCAUAUGUCCACAAUGUACAUGUAUGAAAGGAUCUACUUGUAUCAUUCAUAGAAUGAGGCAACAAUACUUCCACAUGUUCUAGAAUUCAUUUUACAAAAUAAAUCCCUAGAGAACUGCAUAUUUGGAUCCAGCCAAUACAUAUUUAUCCCCAAUGCUUCUAUCCCAUGACACUCCCUUUGUUGCUACCCUGUGACCCAUAGCAUGAUUUAAUCUGUCAAAAUCACAUGAUUUUUUUGCCUGUGUAUGCAUUCUGUUAGUUACCUUUUAUGGUCGGUUUUUUUAACCACUUCUAUUAAUGUUAAUUGUGUUUCUGCCAGUCAUACAUUUAGAAAGGUUGUCCAAGCAGCGCUUUGGACAAUUAGGAACAUCUUUAAGGAUAAUGAUUCUCAGUUUCAGGUAUUUCUUGAUUUGUAUAGGUUUGAAUGUUCUUACAGCAGCAUCUUUUGCAUGUGAUAGUGUGUUCAUUAAUGUGCUUGGUCCUAAUUAAGGCCCCCUUGGUUCUAACAUAAGGUUUCCCACUCCCCCAAAAUUAAAAUAAUGCCCAGUUUGAAUUAUAUUAAAGAAGGUAAUUUGGACACAUUAUUUUCGAAAUGACCGUGUGGUGUUGGUAUAUGUUUAACUGUACUGCAUAUUUUAACAUAAAAUAGCUACAAGGAAAAUUUGAUAUCUUAUUCUCUCUCUCUCUCUCUACAUAUAUAUCUAAUGAAAUGGGGGUAGAUCCAACACAGUUGCUGUGUUCCAGGUUCUAAUUGAGUGUCAGGUAUUCCCAGCUCUACUUAAUAUUAUCAACCAGGAAGCCCUAAAUGACCAUCUCUUGAAAGACAUUUGUUGGGCAAUCUCAACCAUCACAGCAGGAAAUAAGGAUAGAAUACAGGUACAUGGUGAAUGAAGGCUGCUUUGAAGUGUUUUGUAAUCAUCUAUUGUUUGUUUGCACUGGUCCAUGUCUUAGGGGGCUCAAAAAUAUCCUUCAGGCAGGAGAUGCUGAGAAGGUUGGUGUGAUCAAUAUUCACGCACAAAUGAUCAAAGACUUUGGUGGAUUCCAGAAAAUUGAAGCUCUGAAGACCGAUCCGGGCCUUGGCGAGAUGGCUUCAAAGAUCAUGAAGAAGUAUUGGCUAAGCGAAUGAGAAGAAGACAUUGGUAAUAAUACUGUGAGUCAUUCCAGAUCAAUGAAAUGACAUACUUUUGUUUGUUAGUACCCUGUAGACUGUUGAAGAAAUUAAACUUGGUAUUUUUUUUAGCCUCUUGGUAGCAUGACAUGACUGUAUUAAGUGCAAUCUUGCUGUACUCUGUAUUGUUGUCAUUCCACACAUCACCAACAAAGCUUAUUAGGCACGCCGCCAGUGCCAUCACUUGCCAAA
Long non-coding RNA from Malania oleifera, 2475 nucleotides. RefSeq lists it as uncharacterized. The transcript is spliced from 2 exons. The record is from RefSeq and is a predicted model, not a curated record. Lineage: Eukaryota; Viridiplantae; Streptophyta; Magnoliopsida; Santalales; Ximeniaceae.